UACGGAGGGAGCUAGUGUUGUUCGGAAUUACUGGGCGUAAAGCGCACGUAGGCGGCUUUGUAAGUUAGAGGUGAAAGCCCGGGGCUCAACUCCGGAACUGCCUUUAAGACUGCAUCGCUUGAAUCCAGGAGAGGUGAGUGGAAUUCCGAGUGUAGAGGUGAAAUUCGUAGAUAUUCGGAAGAACACCAGUGGCGAAGGCGGCUCACUGGACUGGUAUUGACGCUGAGGUGCGAAAGCGUGGGGAGCAAACAGG
RNAcentral lists this ribosomal RNA (253 nucleotides) under uncultured bacterium. RNAcentral's name for it is "partial 16S ribosomal RNA". It matches the Rfam family "Bacterial small subunit ribosomal RNA", at positions 524 to 776 of the family's 1533-position model. The record is from RNAcentral.